GGUGCCGCGGUUGCUCCGUCCCACACUCUUCCGGUUGCCGUCGCCUGACGACCGACGGCUGACGCUACUUGCGUUGCGCGGCUCCUCUUCUGUUCCUCUGCACUGCACGCAUGCGCAACCAGUUCACACGUUUAUUUCAUCAUCGUUAUUGUCCUAGUAAAAACAAAAGAAUGAAUGAUUUUGUCCAAUUCCUUGUCUUCUUUGCUUUAGCCACCCAUUUGCACCAAUAGUUUUGGAAUUCUGGGUCGACUGCUACGGUGCUCUUGAUGCUGAAUUCUCUAGAUUUCUCAGUUUUUUUCACUUAUAUUCAUUUAUCCAUCUGUUUAUUUUGACGUUUUGCCACAGAGCUAGCUGGUAGAUCUGUACUGGUACAGAUAUUUGUAUUCUCUGGUUACAAAACAUUUAUCCACCGACUGUACUCCACUGUUCCGUAUAAUCAUGGAUCAAUCAAUCAACUGUACGGGAGUAGAACCAUCCUUUUGCAAAGAAAAACCCCUGGUUUUCUUCUGGUUUUUCCUCUUGGGUACGCUGCGGUCCUUGACAGGCGCUUGACCUGGGACUGGGAGGUCAAGAAAUUCCAGGAACUGUCCUCUGAAUUACCGCCACCGUCCACCAGUACAUACUGCAUCAGCAGCCACAACCCAAUUCACCACACAGCAGAAGUGGGUGGAAAAAAAUCGUGAUGAUUCCUGUUUCAAACCACGGAAACGAGUUUCUUCCGCGUACGUAUUUUCCCUGCUGUUUUGAUUUGCUAGUACGACGGCGAAACAACCCGGAAUUUCAACUCCGUCAACGUCGUACGGACGCCGUCGGUGGAUAGCAUCCUUGCCCUCCCUUUGCUAUUUUGCUGACAGCAAUUACUGAAUAGGUUCGCUUUGUGGUUGGGCUCAAUUUGUCAACGAUAAUCUCUGAUGCUAUCAUUUGAUAAUCAUCACCAGCUUGUUGUUGCUACAUAUACAGUCAAUGCAAUCCGAAUGCAUGCAUCUAAUCAGACCGAACGACGACGACGACGAUCGAUCGAUUCUGACGUCCACCGUGCACUUUGUCGUUCUGUCCAGGGAUUCGGCAUGGAGGACGGCGUGUUCUGCGGCGUGUUCGACGGGCACGGGCGGUGCGGGCAGUACAUCAGCAAGCUGGUGAGGGACUACCUGCCGUUCAUGAUCCUGAGCCACCGGAACGCGCUCCUCUUGGG
This 1192-nucleotide long non-coding RNA is filed under the name Sorghum bicolor (sorghum). Its description in RNAcentral is "long non-coding RNA (SBIC_LNC006060)". Lineage: Eukaryota; Viridiplantae; Streptophyta; Magnoliopsida; Poales; Poaceae. The record is from RNAcentral.